This 551-nucleotide ribosomal RNA is filed under the name Micrococcus sp. Its description in RNAcentral is "bacterial SSU rRNA". It matches the Rfam family "Bacterial small subunit ribosomal RNA", at positions 85 to 651 of the family's 1533-position model. Lineage: Bacteria; Bacillati; Actinomycetota; Actinomycetes; Micrococcales; Micrococcaceae. The record is from RNAcentral.
GGGUGGAUUAGUGGCGAACGGGUGAGUAACACGUGAGUAACCUGCCCUUGACUCUAGGAUAAGCCCGGGAAACUGGGUCUAAUACUGGAUAGGAACGUCUACCGCAUGGUGGAUGUUGGAAAGAAUUUCGGUCAUGGAUGGACUCGCGGCCUAUCAGCUUGUUGGUGAGGUAAUGGCUCACCAAGGCGACGACGGGUAGCCGGCCUGAGAGGGUGACCGGCCACACUGGGACUGAGACACGGCCCAGACUCCUACGGGAGGCAGCAGUGGGGAAUAUUGCACAAUGGGCGAAAGCCUGAUGCAGCGACGCCGCGUGAGGGAUGACGGCCUUCGGGUUGUAAACCUCUUUCAGUAGGGAAGAAGCGAAAGUGACGGUACCUGCAGAAGAAGCACCGGCUAACUACGUGCCAGCAGCCGCGGUAAUACGUAGGGUGCGAGCGUUAUCCGGAAUUAUUGGGCGUAAAGAGCUCGUAGGCGGUUUGUCGCGUCUGUCGUGAAAGUCCGGGGCUUAACCCCGGAUCUGCGGUGGGUACGGGCAGACUAGAGUGCAG